AUGAACGCUGGCGGCGUGCUUAAUACAUGCAAGUCGAACGGAGAAUCUUUGUAGCAAUACGGAGGUUCUUAGUGGCGAACGGGUGCGUAACGCGUUGGUGACCUGCCCUAAAGUGUGGGAUAACAGUCCGAAAGGACUGCUAAUACCGCAUGUGAUCAUCGGGUUUAGAAGCUGAUGAUUAAAGGAGUAAUUCGCUUUAGGAGGGACCUGCGUCCCAUCAGCUAGUUGGUGAGGUAACGGCCCACCAAGGCUUCGACGGGUAGGGGACCUGAGAGGGUGGUCCCCCACACUGGCACUGAAACACGGGCCAGACACCUACGGGUGGCAGCAGUAGGGAAUAUUGGGCAAUGGGCGAAAGCCUGACCCAGCAACGCCGCGUGCGCGAUGAAGGUCUUCGGAUCGUAAAGCGCUUUUCUGAGAGAUGAGAAAGGACAGUAUCUCAGGAAUAAGUCUCGGCUAACUACGU
This 466-nucleotide ribosomal RNA is filed under the name uncultured bacterium. RNAcentral describes it as "bacterial SSU rRNA". It matches the Rfam family "Bacterial small subunit ribosomal RNA", at positions 29 to 506 of the family's 1533-position model. The record is from RNAcentral.